Molecule: ribosomal RNA, 200 nt
Filed under: uncultured eukaryote
Lineage: Eukaryota
Description: partial 18S ribosomal RNA
Rfam family: Eukaryotic small subunit ribosomal RNA
Source: RNAcentral
GCUCCAAUAGCGUAUAUUUAAGUUGCUGCAGUUAAAAAGCUCGUAGUUGGAUUUCGGGUGGGAAUGGCCGGUCCGCCGUUUCGGUGUGCACUUGCUACGCCACCUUGCUGCCGGGGGACGUGCUCUUGAGUUUGCGCUCGGGACACGGAGUCGGCGAGGUUACUUUGAGUAAAUUAGAGUGUUCAAAGCAGGCCUACGCU